This 500-nucleotide ribosomal RNA is filed under the name uncultured bacterium. RNAcentral's name for it is "partial 16S ribosomal RNA". It matches the Rfam family "Bacterial small subunit ribosomal RNA", at positions 30 to 523 of the family's 1533-position model. The record is from RNAcentral.
AUUGAACGCUGGCGGCAUGCCUUACACAUGCAAGUCGAACGGCAGCACGGGAGCAAUCCUGGUGGCGAGUGGCGAACGGGUGAGUAAAGUAUCGGAACGUGCCCAGUCGUGGGGGAUAACGUAGCGAAAGUUACGCUAAUACCGCAUACGAUCUAUGGAUGAAAGCGGGGGAUCGCAAGACCUCGCGCGAUUGCAGCGGCCGAUAUCAGAUUAGGUAGUUGGUGGGGUAAAGGCUCACCAAGCCGACGAUCUGUAGCUGGUCUGAGAGGACGACCAGCCACACUGGGACUGAGACACGGCCCAGACUCCUACGGGAGGCAGCAGUGGGGAAUUUUGGACAAUGGGCGCAAGCCUGAUCCAGCCAUGCCGCGUGCAGGAUGAAGGCCUUCGGGUUGCAAACUGCUUUUGUACGGAACGAAAAGGUUUGACUUAAUACGUUGGACUCAUGACGGUACCGUAAGAAUAAGCACCGGCUAACUACGUGCCAGCCGCCGCAGUAA